RNAcentral lists this ribosomal RNA (253 nucleotides) under uncultured bacterium. RNAcentral describes it as "partial 16S ribosomal RNA". It matches the Rfam family "Bacterial small subunit ribosomal RNA", at positions 524 to 776 of the family's 1533-position model. The record is from RNAcentral.
UACGUAGGGGGCAAGCGUUGUCCGGAUUUAUUGGGCGUAAAGAGCGUGUAGGCGGUCAGGUAGGUCCGUUGUGAAAACUCGAGGCUCAACCUCGAGACGCCGAUGGAAACCCCCUGACUAGAGUCCGGAAGAGGAGAGUGGAAUUCCUGGUGUAGCGGUGAAAUGCGCAGAUAUCAGGAAGAACACCCGUGGCUAAGGCGGCUCUCUAGUACGGUACUGACGCUGAGACGCGAAAGCGUGGGGAGCGAACAGG